This 1627-nucleotide long non-coding RNA is filed under the name Pelobates cultripes (western spadefoot toad). Lineage: Eukaryota; Metazoa; Chordata; Amphibia; Anura; Pelobatidae. The record is from RNAcentral.
CAUAAAAUAAACAGGCUAAGGUACGCUGUUCUGUAUGUUUGGGGUGCAGCCAACCCGGUUGCUGUUUUUGUAGGCUGGGUGGGGUGUUCUGUAACCCUGCGCUUGGGGGGGGGGGUUUAUAGAUCGGGCAGCGCUGUGAUAAUGAUGGACCCUCUGCUCUGCCUUUAUUGGAAAUUGGGUGUGCUUAUUGGGGAGUAGACCAGAGUAAGGGGGGGGGGGAACUUACGACCCGUUCCCUCUCUAAGGACUUGGAUUAGGAUGCGGGGGUAACAUGGGGUGGUUUGCUGUUAUUUGUAUUACCCUUGUGAAAAUCGUAGGUUCGAAGUGUGAGGACAAUUCACAGGCUACCGCCCCACUAUGUGUGGACUGUGUUGGUUGUGAUGUGUUUCAAUAAGCGGGGAAAAUGUCAACUGCCCCUCCACGUGGCUCAGAGCAGGCCUUCUAUCUUACAUGUCUUACUUUACAUUACUUGUUUUCCUCUGCCAUGGCAAUACCUCACCGUACGACCAAUAAGGUCCGAGUGCCGCGUAAGUACCCUUGGUUUACAUGUGGUAUUGUAUGUGUUGUCAUGCAUAAGUAAGUUAAGUUCAACUAAAUUCAAACUAGGUAAAUUAAAUUCAACUGAUACAGGUACACUUCCAGGUUGGGACAUAUAUGUAAAAUGAGGCGAUCAAAUAUCUACAGUACAAUGUGUCCUUUUGCAGUUUAGAAGGUGUAAGGUACUAUUAAGGGACAAGUCCUUCAAGUUUUCAUAUUGUUGAGUGUCCUUGAAGACCAUCGGAAACAGUCACUAGGCUACCACUGCAAGCGCCGUGGGAUCGGUACCAGCGACUCAAGGAUUCACAUUUUGCUUUGGCUUUCGCCACGGUAAGCACUCGUAUAUGAGCAGGUGUGUUUGUUCCCAUUUGUAGGUGAAGGCACCUUGUUGCCGAGCACUGAACUGUGGAACCUCAAACUUAACACUUUGUUCCCGGCUAGGGAGGGGAGGGAGGGGCAGGGCAGGCUUUUAAAUAAGGUUGAACGAGUUCAGUUCCUCAGGUACUUGGUCUGUGCUGUUCCUUCCUCCCUGGGUUACUGGAGGUUGAAUUUGCCCCGGAGGGGGCCUGGCCUGUCUUGUGGGUUCCAGAUGGUUGGAAUGGUAUGAGCCUAUCUAUGUCCCAAUUAUGUGGUGCUUUCCGCCCCUGUACCUGCGCCCUCUGUUCCAGAAGGCUCUUUAGGCCCAAGGCCUGGAGCGCUGCGUCUGAUUCUGCGGCUGUGGUAAGUCGUAAGCUUUUCUCUCCUUGCGAUAUGAACAGGCUCCUGGGGGUGCCCCAACGGUAUGGGAUUGAAUGGGUGCGUAGUGUCGAGGUCAGAGGUUUAAACUGGCUUCUCCAUAACAGUGUAGGUCUGGAUAGAUCCUGAAAGAAUACUAGGUGAGUGUUUUCGAAGGAAUAAGCGGGCUGUCCCCUCACUGCCGCCAUUACUUGUAGUUGCGCUGAUCUUGUCUGGAACUGGACGAUAACGUCCCUUGGGGAGUCCGCUGGUGCCCUCGUAGCUUUAGGUAUGCGGAAUAUCCCGUCCACCAGGACUUGUUUGCUCUGCCUGGGGUUUAGUAUGGUGCUCAGCAGCCUCCUGGCAUAAUGGGGAA